Psammomys obesus (fat sand rat) is the source of this 105-nucleotide small nuclear RNA. The record is from RefSeq and is a predicted model, not a curated record. Lineage: Eukaryota; Metazoa; Chordata; Mammalia; Rodentia; Muridae.
GUGCUCCCUUCAGCAUUUGCACUAAAAUUAGAAUAAUACAGAGAAAAUUACCAUGGCCACUGCACAAAAAUGACAUGCAAAUUAAUAAAGUGGUUACAUAUUUUU